RNAcentral lists this ribosomal RNA (466 nucleotides) under uncultured bacterium. RNAcentral's name for it is "partial 16S ribosomal RNA". It matches the Rfam family "Bacterial small subunit ribosomal RNA", at positions 28 to 505 of the family's 1533-position model. The record is from RNAcentral.
GACGAACGCUGGCGGCGUGCUUAACACAUGCAAGUUGAACGGAAAGGCCCUGCUUUUGUGGGGUGCUCGAGUGGCGAACGGGUGAGUAACACGUGAGUAACCUGCCCUUGACUUUGGGAUAACUUCAGGAAACUGGGGCUAAUACCGGAUAGGAGCUCCUGCUGCAUGGUGGGGGUUGGAAAGUUUCGGCGGUUGGGGAUGGACUCGCGGCUUAUCAGCUUGUUGGUGGGGUAGUGGCUUACCAAGGCUUUGACGGGUAGCCGGCCUGAGAGGGUGACCGGCCACAUUGGGACUGAGAUACGGCCCAGACUCCUACGGGAGGCAGCAGUGGGGAAUAUUGCACAAUGGGCGGAAGCCUGAUGCAGCAACGCCGCGUGCGGGAUGACGGCCUUCGGGUUGUAAACCGCUUUCGCCUGUGACGAAGCGUGAGUGACGGGAAUGGGUAAAGAAGCACCGGCUAACUACG